GCCAGCAUGGCAUAGUGGUUUGAGUGUUAGACUGAAACUCUAGGGUUUGAUUCUAAGACCAGGGUUUGAUUCCCUGCAUGGCCA
Non-coding RNA from Phrynosoma platyrhinos (Desert horned lizard), 84 nucleotides. The record is from the annotation of a GenBank genome assembly. Lineage: Eukaryota; Metazoa; Chordata; Lepidosauria; Squamata; Phrynosomatidae.